AUUUAUUUAAUAUAAUUCCAUGUAUAUUUGGCUUCCAACCAAAAAGUCUAUUUUAGAAUAAAUA
RNAcentral lists this transfer RNA (64 nucleotides) under Lachesilla picticeps. RNAcentral describes it as "tRNA-Gly". The record is from RNAcentral. Lineage: Eukaryota; Metazoa; Arthropoda; Insecta; Psocodea; Lachesillidae.